This 1883-nucleotide long non-coding RNA is filed under the name Phasianus colchicus (ring-necked pheasant). RNAcentral's name for it is "lncRNA (ENSPCLG00000018249.1)". Lineage: Eukaryota; Metazoa; Chordata; Aves; Galliformes; Phasianidae. The record is from RNAcentral.
GGAGACCUUAUAAGGCCUGUGGGUGGCCAGUCUGGCAGUUAUAGAAUUACAGAAGCAUAGGGGUCAGAAGAGACCUCUGGAGAUCAUGUAGUCCAAUGCCUGCUAAAGCGAUUUCCCUGGAGGAGGUGAACCCACAAUGAUAUCUGCACUGGGAGAGAGGCAGGAACAGCUGGGACCUGGUUGGCACAGAUCACUCCACCAUCACCCAUGGAGCUCUGUCUGUUCUGUGUGUAAGAAACCAGGUAACACCCAGGUUGUUCCCUGCUGCCCCCUACUGGAGCUGGGUACAGCCCAUGAGCCAAACCACGGGAGAAAUCCACACGCUCCAGAAGUACUGAGGGUAGCAGUCAGCAGUCCGAUUGCACUGGCAAGGGAUGGACAGCCAGCAGCAGGUGGUGGAUGCUCUCAGCUGGAGCUGAGAUAAGCAGCAGCUCCAGGGACGUUCCGCAGGAUGAGGAACCAUUGGCUCAUUGGGACCCAGCUUCUGAGCAGCCCUACGCACCCAGUAACGGCAGUCGUGCUCCUUCAGCAGGAUGACUGGGCCGGGCGGUGAGCACCACAGCACUCCUUCUUAUAGCAAGAUGCUGUCGGCGGCAGGCCCUGAUUCUGAUUUUGAAGAGGGAAAAUCCAGGCAGAGGAUGUGGACCUCACCAGAGGAAGGACGGUCUGUUCUCCAGCUGUCCAGGCUCCAUCCUAACUUGCCAAAAAAACAGUGCAAAUUUCUAACAGUUCACAGGAAAAAGAAUGUCCAUAUUGACAGGGUAUAAAUCCUUCCUUACGUACGAGAAUGGUACAUACCCGGCAUCUCUAUCAAAUAUCGUAGAAAAGGUUACACAAAAAUAGUUAAAUAUAUGGAUACAGAUACAUAGAUAUUACACUUGCAUAAAAUAUGUAGAUUCAAAACCCUUUGGGCAGUUUCACAGUUAGCUGAAAAUGUAUGCUUUAGAAAUAUGAACAAUUUCCUACACUUUUCUAGUUUAAGUAGGAGGGGAAAGGGAAGAAGCAUCAGCCUUAUUAAUACUGAAUGCUAAGUGCAGGAAUUUAGCUGUAGCUGUAGGGCUUUGAAGCAAUUGAUUUGACAGAACCUCCAAGCAUAAACUCUGUUUUAAAAAUCCACAUUUAUUCCCUAGAUCGCUUAUUGUUUCAUGAAAAUGAAAACCUACGUGCCCUGCUUGUAUCAUCUAGAUCUCCUGAGACCGCUCAAUGAAACCUCACAAGCUUGCAAUACUUCAAGGUAGGGUCAUGCACUGGGAGUACACAUGAGCCUUAUUGCAGCAUUUCUGUGUGAUAACAGGAAUUCAUAACUUCUCACAUCCUGUAGAAUUUAACUUUAGAAAUGCAAAACCUUGAAUGACACCACAAGAAGCUCACAGUUCUGAAAAAAUUAAAUUCAGUAUGAAAUUUUACUUACAGACCACAUCAUUUACACAGAUUUACAUAAAUACAGAGAUAUUAAAAUAUUAAAUCAAACCUAAUUAACAGAGGAUAGAGGUUUACAUGAUAACAUUUUAAUUCAUUACAUUUCUGCAACUAUUCUUAGUGUCAUGAGAUUAUAUAAAUAAUAUAUAUAUCUAUAUAUCCAUAAUAUGUAUAAAGAUAUAUAUAUUUCCAUCCUUUUUUUUUUCCUCAAAAAUAGGGCAAUUUUAUAACUGCAAUGAGAUGUGACAAGCAGUACACUUCUGGGGAAUUAUUGCAUGCCUUGAGUGCAUAAGGCAGAAGGAAGAGUGUCUGACUAGAGACGCUAAAGAAGUAAAACCAUCAACCAGAAAUGCACUGGAGUGAUUUGGAACAUCUUAUUGCUUUUAUAAAACUCAAAAUUAUAUACUGAUUUUUAAGAAAAGGCACAAAAUAAAGGGGAAAAUAAUAUCUCUCUAUUUAGUGGA